GCCACGCUCGGAGACAACUCCACGUUCUCCUUAUCAACACCUGCAGAACGACAGCACACAUUGAGAGAGCUGCUAAGUGAUGGAUACCAGCAUGAGGAGGGAAAAGAGAGAUUCUCCCAGAAGAACUGGCAUUAUGAAAUAAAGCUGCUACAGCAGGUACAAUGUCACACCGUGUGCUAACAGCAAGUGCACAUACAAGGACAGGUGAUGCAAUUUUUCUUUUAUCUUUUUUUUUUUUUUGAUUAAUGUCUUGUUUCAGUUUUGUGCUGUACUACUGCAACUACAUAGGCUGCAUUAAUCAACCAGGAACAUUAGAAACACAGCGCCGCUGUGAUGGUGUAGUUUAUGUUAUAAACCUAAAAAAGCAUUUCAAAUGUGUUGUCCAUGUCCAUGACAGCUGGAGCAUUUUUUUAGGAAUGUUUGUAGAGUAAAAUUUAAGAUCAUGUAAAUUUAAAAUUGGAAGAAUUUUAGGCAAAUUAAGUCUUGUAAACUGCAGUGCCUGCAUGAAACAGCAAAAACAAAAAAUGCCUCUCAUGCGAGAAUAUACGGUGUACUGUGUGUUGUGUUGGAUGAAUAUUGGGUGUCAGGUUGUUAACAACAGCAGGUUGUGGGGUGUGUGUGUGUGUGCUGACCUGCCGAGUGUUGCGAGGUUGCCAGAGAGGUCAUGGAGUUGGAGAGGUUGAGGUUGGCAGUGAUGCUGAGCUGGCUCUGGACCGGAGGCGGAUACGGAGACGUGGGUGUCCUCAGAGCCUCCUCGCUGCCUUCCUCAUCAAUCCCAGGCAGAUAGGUGUCAAUCAGAGCGUCCAGAAACUUAACGAUCAGCUCAGCGUAGUCCGGGAUCUGGUUUUGCUGUGGGCAGCAGGAGAGCGGCUCGUGUUAAAGAAAGAAAAACUACACCAUCAGUAAGCUGGAGAAAUUAAGGCUCACUACCUUUGAAAAAGGCCCAGCAAAUCUCCAGAGUCCGUUAAAUCCGAAACCUGUGAGUGAGAGAGAAAGUGGGGAAGAGUGAUGUCAUGUCAAUAUGUCUUAGAUCAGCGAUCAUGCUCUCUUCCUGGCAUCCACACUGAAACAAACUGUGUCAGUCUGAGCAUGCUCUCUGACAAAUAAGCCACUGUUACACAAUAUUACAUAAAUAAAAAUAAUGUGGAACAGUGUGCUUUUAGUAUUCACCCAGGAAUUGACUUUAUUAUAAUAGAGUUUAAUUCAUUUAAGUAGUUAAGUAAUUCAUUGAAGUAGUUAAGUAAUACACACUGUAAUUAACAUCAACCCUCUCACACUGUGUGAUUCACAUGUGAUUUAAAAGGAAAAUCAUGUCUAAAUUAUGCCAGAAUCAUGCAGUAUAAGCCAAGAUUAACUCUUAAAAAGCCAUGUAACUUCCUAAUUCUUGUGUGUUGGAGGAUCUAGGUGGGCACAGCAAGUGUAGUGUGUGCGUGUGUGUGUGUGUGUGUGUGCGCGUGUGUGUGUGUUUACUCUGAAGAUAUGAGGGCUGGUACUGCGGUGGUGACUCCUCAUGGUACACCACACUCUGUACAAUGCCAUGCACGGGGUUCAGCAGGUUCGGGUCCUGGCACAUGGACAGCAGCGUGUUGAUCUUCGAGUCCAGGAGGUUGUGACUGCAAGUGAAAGACCUUCGGAAAGACGACGCUGGCCUCAGCUAAAAACUCGUAGAGAAUUCUCUGGUCAAAUUCGUCCAUCGUGUUUUUGACCUGAGUUGCCUGCAACAGAAACCUACACUUAUAUGUUUAUAUUUGAUUAUGCUUGAUUUUAAAUUAUCUUCGUGAAUUAAAAAAGAGACAUUUGCAGACAUUUGCAAUAUCCUUUUAAAAUGGAGAAGUCAACAGCUUAUGAAACCACUUAAACUGUUAUAAGUGAACUCCUGAAGAGGAACAGAGACGCAGACAGAGAGGCAGAAAAGACAACAGGAAACAAAUAUGUUACACGGACAAACACACCGAAGAGCCCUGAAAGAGGAACCGAGACGAAUGACGAAUGAGUGAGUGUGAAAGUGUACGAGAGAGAUGAGCUCGUACCAGCACGGUGAGGAGAAGCGCCUGGAUCUUCGGGUCAGUGAGGACCUCCUCGUCCAGGAGGACGUUGGACUCGGACACGGAGACCUUCCUCAGGUGGUGAUGCUGCUGAGAGAUUCUUUGGGUUUCUGUAUAAAAAAAUAAAUAAAAUAAAAUUAAUUAAUUUAUUUAUUAAUUUAUUAAUUAAUUAAUGUACAUUUCAGGAAAAAAUUGAAUCACUCAGCAUAUGCUUGGUGUUUGCUUCUUUACUUUGCUCUGAGACUGAUACAGAUUACAAGUGAUGUCUGUGUCAGCUAAAAUAUGUAAAUAUAUUGUGCAUAUGUGUGAUGGCCUGGGAAAGACCCUUGACAUAGAGAAAUUUUGAUAUUUACUACUAUUUAUAACUCUGAGAACUACAGGCUUUCCUGAACUGAAAUAUGUUUCACUUUUGCAUGUAUCUCAACCACAAGUUCCAGCAUUUUAAAAUCUGAUGACCUCCAAAAGUCACAAGAGAAAAAAUGAUAUUUAAAGGUUUCAUUCUAACUGUGGCCCAGGGGCAUGGGGCAUUGACAACUGGUAUCUGAUUACAAAGUGAAUCGAUUAGGCUCAUGUCCGUUUUGCUCGGCAUAUAGCUAUUCAACAACUUGAUCAAAUCGUGACAUCGUGAGAAAAUCACACUUAACUAAUGAGGUUUUUCCACAUCAUGAAAUAUGCUUAUGGUUUCUUAAAGUUGAGAUGUUCCAAGCAGAAAAACCCAAUUUUUCAAUUCAUACACUUGCUGUUAAGCUAUCUAAUUUCCUUUUCAGUAAACACUUCUGCAAAACAGCAGGUGUAGUCAGUAUCUAGACUUUUAAGUUUAAAGUGAAAUUAUAUUAUCAUCAUGUUCCACAUCACUUCCAGCUUUCUGAUGCAAUUCCACCUUCAAUCUUUAGGGAUGGUGCCUAAAAAUGUGAAAAAAAAAAAAAAAAAAAAAAAAAAAAACUUGUUCUGGUUGGUUGUCUGAGACUGCUGCCAGCCACAAGGUUACCAUGUUCAGCUACAUGGUGAAGUUUUGUUCUUUUCUGUAGAUAAGAUAUAGAUAUAAGAUAUAACCUGACUGGCUACAUUUGGAGUGGAAAUUUUGUGUAAAUUUCAUAUUUUGUUCAACAUUCUGCUCACUUUUCAUCACAGCAGGAUGUGCGACACUUCUCUCAUGUGAUUGGAUGAUCAGAUUUACCUUCAUGGUAUUUUUAGGCAGCAGAAUUCUUUUGGUAAAACUAAACAAAUUGUGUACUUUUCAUAUGCAUUUGUUUAUUAUUAAAAAAAAUACUACAUGUAUCUGAAAUGUGCAGUCUUAACUAGGCCAUUAAUUAUGUAUUGUGUGAUUCAGAUAGAGACUCUGUGACUCUCGUCUCUGACACAUUCAAACCACACACUUUCAAACCACAGUUAUUUUCAGUGACCACACACAUGCACACAGCUCUCUUCAACAUCUUUUCUUCAGUAAUAUCACAUGCACGCAAAAAUCAUACCUAUUUCGUAGUCGUUCUCUGCUACUCUCCUCAUUUUGGGAGGUGUAGUGAUACCAGACUCCAACUCUGGCCUUUUUGGUGCCUUACUGUCUGAUAUCAAGUGGUCGAAGCUUUUUCUUGUCCCUGACACACACAAACACAGGAACAGGAAGUUGUCAUAGGCUUUACUGAAACUAGAUUAGUGUUACUGUUAAUGUCUGGUCAGUCAUGGUUCUAAGAAUCGCUCAUCUCCAUCCAUACAUCUCCUUCAAACACCCAACCUCCAUUUACAUUUACAUAACAUAAUGUUACUAAUUUAUUUUAGUAUUGCAGUUUAGUAUUUGGUAUUGCAUUUAUUGCACAUAACACAUUAUUGCACAUUAUUUGCACAAAACUGCACAUAUCCGCACUUUAUAUCUCUACUGUCAGACACUGUAUAUAUUCCAUAUAUAUAUAUUCUUAUACACAUCUUUUCUUUUCUUUCUUUUUUUUAAAUCCCUUCAUAUAUUUUUAUGCAUAUAUUUUUCUUUAUAUUUAAUAUUUUUCUAUAUUUUCUGAUUUUAUGUCGGAACAGUUGUAUAAAGCAUUUCACUGCAAGUCGUACUGUGUAUGGUUAUGCAUGUGACAAAUAAAAAUUUGAAUUUGAAUUCUA
This is a long non-coding RNA of Pangasianodon hypophthalmus (striped catfish), 4148 nucleotides long. RefSeq lists it as uncharacterized. NCBI's taxonomy places the organism in Eukaryota, Metazoa, Chordata, Actinopteri, Siluriformes, Pangasiidae. The transcript is spliced from 4 exons. The record is from RefSeq and is a predicted model, not a curated record.